AAAUCAUGAUGUGGGCACCUUCUCAGAAGCCCUUUGAAUUGUUCUCAUGCUUCAAAUAGAGAUUCAAAAUCAUAUUGUUAAAAGUUGGAAAUCUAUGUCAUAAGCUU
Molecule: small nucleolar RNA, 107 nt
Organism: Abrus precatorius (Indian licorice)
Lineage: Eukaryota; Viridiplantae; Streptophyta; Magnoliopsida; Fabales; Fabaceae
Source: RefSeq, a predicted model, not a curated record